AACCCUGGACAUUAGUCGUGAAGAGGAUUGAAAUAUAAUAAUACAAUCGUAUCUGAUGGAAUGUCUAUCUUGCAAAUUUAUAACUAAUUGGACAGAGUCCCUUCACAGAUGAGUUCUAACUAUGUGAUUAUUAUAAAAACACAGUUGUCUGAGUGGCACAAUUUAGCUCCUUAGUGAUUUUGAUCAAUUUUACACCUUCACCUCGAGUCAAAGACUUUUCUUAAACACUCGUCAAGCUCUACUUGCCACUCUGUUGAUGGGCUGACAGCUAAAAAUUUCAAAUAAUAAAGAACUCGACGACUUGGAAAGAUUCAAGUAACACGACACAAUAACCAAAAAGGAUUACUACUGGUAUAAGUGGAUGAAUGGACAAAAGAAUACUUACAUACUUGAAAGAUGAAAUUUUCUUAAAUUAUACAAUAGCCGGUCCCAAAAGGAAAAAGAAAUAACCUAGGAAAAGCUAAAAAGUAUUCCCAACCCAAAACUUAGUAGAAACAACAUUUGGCUCGACGGAGAAGGGCCACGUGUGAAAAGGAAAAACUAUUGCUUUUACUAAGUAAGAAAUAAGAUCUGAUUGGUGGAGUGGCUUCUUCCACUACAAGCCAAAAAGGUAUGAAAAAGACACUUUAACUAGAGGAAAUGUGAUAAGCAUGAUUGGUCUGUGUUAAAUGUUUUUAGGAAUAGUGACUUAAACUUCACCCUUGUCUAAGGAAACUCCCCUCUCUCUCUCUCUCUCCCCCUCUUGUGUUUCUUAUUUCACUCCAUUCUUUCUUUAACCUACCAUAUACCACACCCGCUCUCGAAAUGCAGUGGCUGCAGUCCCUCUUCUCUCCGUUGAAGAAGCUGUGGAUUCGUCUGCACUCUGCUCAAAAAAAGAGUAGAGGGAUAUAUAUACUGUACGAGGAUGUCAAGUCCUGCCACUAUGAAGAUGUGCAUGUUCUUUGGUCCAUAUUAGUGGAAUCACAUCCACGGGCAUUGCCACCAUCCAAAUGAUGUUCCCACAUACAAACACACACACACACACACAACAGGAAAUGGGAGACUUACAGCCAUGUAUAUAAGAUAGUAACUUCUCCCAAAUUUAAGUUUUGUUUUCACAUUUUCGUUUUCAAUUUCUUGUGAGUGCGCUUAUAGAGUGUAAUAAAUUAUUGAUGUAAUGAUCGCAGAAACAUGAAUAGUCAAUAUCACAGAAAAAAGCAUUGCCUUCAUAAGAAGCUCAAGUAAGACCUAUCAAUUCACUACUUUUCUGGGAAGACAUGUAGUCUUGAGUGUAAAGUAAUUAUUUUCUAACUUUAUGUGGCUUCUUGUUGAGAUAUCGGUUUCCGGAUGUUGAGAUAGCAGUUAUAUAGGUUCUUCACACCUUUCAGAAGUUAACAAAGGUUUAAGUCAUGAAAGCUAUUGAAUGGAAGAAAAACUUAAAUGAUUUUGA
Olea europaea var. sylvestris is the source of this 1429-nucleotide long non-coding RNA. RefSeq lists it as uncharacterized. The record is from RefSeq and is a predicted model, not a curated record. NCBI's taxonomy places the organism in Eukaryota, Viridiplantae, Streptophyta, Magnoliopsida, Lamiales, Oleaceae. The transcript has 2 exons.